RNAcentral lists this ribosomal RNA (451 nucleotides) under uncultured bacterium. Its description in RNAcentral is "partial 16S ribosomal RNA". It matches the Rfam family "Bacterial small subunit ribosomal RNA", at positions 29 to 523 of the family's 1533-position model. The record is from RNAcentral.
AACGAACGCUGGCGGCAGGCCUCAUACAUGCAAGUCUAGCGGGUGUAGCAAUACAUAAGUGGCGCACGGGUGAGUAACGCGUGGGAAUAUGCCCUUGACUACGGAACAACCUCGGGAAACUGAGGCUAAUACCGGAUAAUGGCUCCGGACCAAAGAUUUAUCAGUCAAGGAUUAGCCCGCGUCUGAUUAGGUAGUUGGUGAGGUAACGACUCACCAAGCCUACGAUCAGUAGCUGGUCUGAGAGGAUGAUCAGCCACACGGGGACUGAGACACGGCCCCGACUCCUACGGGAGGCAGCAGUAAGGAAUAUUGGACAAUGGGGGAAACCCUGAUCCAGCCAUGCCGCGUGAGUGAAGAAGGCCUUCGGGUUGUAAAGCUCUUUUACCCCUGACGAUAAUGACGGUAAGGGGAGAAAAAGCCACGGCUAACUUCGUGCCAGCAGCCGCGGUAA